UACGUAGGGAGCGAGCGUUAUCCGGAUUUACUGGGUGUAAAGGGAGAGUAGGUGGCAGAGCAAGUCCGAAGUGAAAACCCAAAGCUCAACUAUGGGAAUGCUUUAGAAACUGCAGGACUUGAGUGAAGUAGAGGUAAGCGGAAUUCCUAGUGUAGCGGUGAAAUGCGUAGAUAUUAGGAGGAACAUCGGUGGCGAAGGCGGCUUACUGGACCGUAACUGACGUUGAGGCUCGAAAGCGUGGGGAGCAA
RNAcentral lists this ribosomal RNA (248 nucleotides) under uncultured Lachnospiraceae bacterium. RNAcentral's name for it is "partial 16S ribosomal RNA". It matches the Rfam family "Bacterial small subunit ribosomal RNA", at positions 524 to 771 of the family's 1533-position model. The record is from RNAcentral. Lineage: Bacteria; Bacillati; Bacillota; Clostridia; Lachnospirales; Lachnospiraceae.